RNAcentral lists this transfer RNA (71 nucleotides) under Marmota monax (woodchuck). RNAcentral's name for it is "tRNA.Ser". The stretch from base 6 to 66 matches the Rfam family "tRNA", at positions 6 to 65 of the family's 71-position model. Rfam says of the family: Transfer RNA (tRNA) molecules are approximately 80 nucleotides in length. Lineage: Eukaryota; Metazoa; Chordata; Mammalia; Rodentia; Sciuridae. The record is from RNAcentral.
GAGGAUGUAGCUCAGUGGUAGAGCACUUGCCUAGAAUGCAUGAGGCCUUAGCUUCAAUCCCAAGCACUGCA